This 432-nucleotide ribosomal RNA is filed under the name uncultured bacterium. RNAcentral describes it as "partial 16S ribosomal RNA". It matches the Rfam family "Bacterial small subunit ribosomal RNA", at positions 29 to 506 of the family's 1533-position model. The record is from RNAcentral.
AACGAACGCUGGCGGCAUGCCUAACACAUGCAAGUCGAACGAGACCUUCGGGUCUAGUGGCGCACGGGUGCGUAACGCGUGGGAACCUGCCCUUAGGUUCGGAAUAACUCCCCGAAAGGGGUGCUAAUACCGGAUAAUGUCUUCGGACCAAAGAUUUAUCGCCUUUGGAUGGGCCCGCGUUGGAUUAGCUAGUUGGUAGGGUAAAAGCCUACCAAGGCGACGAUCCAUAGCUGGUCUGAGAGGAUGAUCAGCCACACUGGGACUGAGACACGGCCCAGACCCCUACGGGAGGCAGCAGUGGGGAAUAUUGGACAAUGGGCGAAAGCCUAACCCAGCAAUGCCGGGUGGGUGAUGAAGGCCUUGGGGUUGUAAAGCUUUUUUACCCGGGAUGAUAAUGACAGUACCGGGAAAAAAAGCUCCGGCAAACUCCGU